UUAUACGCGAACUCCUCUUGUCCCGGCUCACGAAACGUUCUCACUUUCUUCCUGCAGUCAAUAGACGCAUAAUACUUCGAGAGCCAGUCCAUUCCCAAGAUGACAUCGAAGUCCUUUAACUUCUUGAGCAUCAACAUUCUAAUUGGCAUUAUCCAGUCACCUACUUGAAUUGGACAAGCCAAACACUCCUUGCAAAUAAGAAAAUCACGCCCAGGGCCC
Molecule: long non-coding RNA, 219 nt
Filed under: Ananas comosus (pineapple)
Lineage: Eukaryota; Viridiplantae; Streptophyta; Magnoliopsida; Poales; Bromeliaceae
Description: long non-coding RNA (ACOM_LNC038859)
Source: RNAcentral